Long non-coding RNA from Peromyscus californicus insignis, 231 nucleotides. RefSeq lists it as uncharacterized. The record is from RefSeq and is a predicted model, not a curated record. NCBI's taxonomy places the organism in Eukaryota, Metazoa, Chordata, Mammalia, Rodentia, Cricetidae. The transcript has 2 exons.
CGCCGGGCCGCCCAAGGCCGCCGCCUCCACCUGCGUCGCCGCUUCCGCCCGGGAGGGGCGCCCGCUCGGCCGCCGACUUCCGGUUCGCGCGCCCGGGCCGCGCAGAUCAAGAUGUAAGAUUCUCAGCUCCUUCUCCAGCGCCAUGUCUGCCUGCAUACCACCCACCAUGAAGAUAAUGGACUAAACCUCUGAACUGUAAGCCACCCCAAUUAAAUGUUUUCCUUUAUAAGA